GCGAGGCGUAACGGAUAAGGCGUCUGAAUUUGAAUCAGAGGACUACAGAUUCGAAUCCUGUCGC
Molecule: transfer RNA, 64 nt
Filed under: Stegodyphus mimosarum
Lineage: Eukaryota; Metazoa; Arthropoda; Arachnida; Araneae; Eresidae
Rfam family: tRNA
About the family: Transfer RNA (tRNA) molecules are approximately 80 nucleotides in length.
Source: Rfam by way of RNAcentral